Molecule: ribosomal RNA, 253 nt
Filed under: uncultured bacterium
Lineage: Bacteria
Description: partial 16S ribosomal RNA
Rfam family: Bacterial small subunit ribosomal RNA
Source: RNAcentral
UACGGGGGGGGUAAGCGUUGUUCGGAAUUACUGGGCGUAAAGGGCUCGUAGGCGGCCAACUAAGUCAGACGUGAAAUCCCUCAGCUUAACUGGGGAACUGCGUCUGAUACUGGAUGGCUUGGAUUCGGGAGAGGAAUGCGGAAUUCCAGGUGUAGCGGUGAAAUGCGUAGAUAUCUGGAGGAACACCGGUGGCGAAGGCGGCAUUCUGGACCGACAUUGACGCUGAGGAGCGAAAGCCAGGGGAGCAAGCGGG